Molecule: small nucleolar RNA, 109 nt
Organism: Prunus persica (peach)
Lineage: Eukaryota; Viridiplantae; Streptophyta; Magnoliopsida; Rosales; Rosaceae
Rfam family: Small nucleolar RNA Z279/snoR105/snoR108
About the family: This family includes the plant snoRNAs known as Z279, snoR105 and snoR108. All three are members of the C/D class of snoRNA which contain the C (UGAUGA) and D (CUGA) box motifs.
Source: Rfam
GGGAUGUGAUGAGUGGUCAGUAUUCGCAAUAAUUAUGCGAGAGAUGGGUGUCCGCCCCAAAGCCUGGUUACGACAAUUGGGCACCCUAAUCUUUGUACCAUCUGAUCCC